UACAGAGGGUGCAAGCGUUGUUCGGAAUUAUUGGGCGUAAAGCGCGUGUAGGCGGCAGUGCAAGUCGGGUGUGAAAGCCCUCAGCUCAACUGAGGAAGUGCGCCCGAAACUGCAUUGCUUGAGUACCGGAGAGGAUGGCGGAAUUCCCGAAGUAGAGGUGAAAUUCGUAGAUAUCGGGAGGAACACCGGUGGCGAAGGCGGCCAUCUGGACGGAUACUGACGCUGAGGCACGAAAGCGUGGGGAGCAAACAGG
Molecule: ribosomal RNA, 253 nt
Filed under: uncultured bacterium
Lineage: Bacteria
Description: partial 16S ribosomal RNA
Rfam family: Bacterial small subunit ribosomal RNA
Source: RNAcentral